AUACUUACCUGACAGGAGAUACCAUGAUCAUGAAGGUGGUUUUCCCAGGGCGAGACUUACCUAUUGCACUGCCGAUAUGCUGACCCCCAUGAUUUCUCCAAAUGUGGGAAACUCGACGGCAUAAUUUGUGGUAGUUGGGGACUGCAUUCAUGCUCUCACCUA
This 162-nucleotide small nuclear RNA is filed under the name Prolemur simus (greater bamboo lemur). RNAcentral describes it as "U1 spliceosomal RNA (ENSPSMG00000006993.1)". It matches the Rfam family "U1 spliceosomal RNA". Rfam says of the family: U1 is a small nuclear RNA (snRNA) component of the spliceosome (involved in pre-mRNA splicing). Lineage: Eukaryota; Metazoa; Chordata; Mammalia; Primates; Lemuridae. The record is from Rfam by way of RNAcentral.